Molecule: long non-coding RNA, 2865 nt
Filed under: Olea europaea subsp. europaea
Lineage: Eukaryota; Viridiplantae; Streptophyta; Magnoliopsida; Lamiales; Oleaceae
Source: RNAcentral
UCUAUACUCGAGCACUUUUCAUUUACACACUAGCGUCAGUUCAAAAAACUUGAAUGGACAUUGCUCAAUAUGCGAGAAUCCACUGUAAUUGGAAGUCCCCAGUGAGAUGCCAUUUGCAGAAACACCUCUCCAUAUAGCUGCUUCCAAAGCCCGGACCAGCCUUGCUCUUGAAAUCUCGAGGCUAAAGCCUACACUAGGGAGGAAAUUGAACCUUGAUGGUCGCACCUCUUUGGACCUGUCUUUGCGUAAUAGACACAUCACCACUGUGAAGCGGCUUGUCAGACAUAAUCCGGACCUCGUUUGUGUCCCAGGGAGGGAAGGAAUCACUCCAUUGCAUUAUGCAGCGGAAUCAGAUGAAACUGCUGUGCGUAUUGCAGUCAGAAACAAAAACUUAAAAGAGGUUCAUAGAAGUGACGACAUAGCAGUUAUAAGAUUUAGAGAUGAGCAAGGCAAUACAGUGCUGCAUCUUCUUGCAGCAUUAACUCACUAGCUGCAGGUAUUAUCAUUCGACUCAACCUCCAUUCAUCUAUUAUAGAGAAUACCACUAUACCUAGAUAGAACACAAAAUGUUAUGUUGAGAGCAUUAAAUCCAUCAUCCAUCUAUGGUAUUACUGUUCGUAGAAUUGUUCUUUUCCCCAUUGCGGACUAAAUAAAAUGUGUCAACAGCUGACGUGGCCAUGCAAAUUAAACCGUCGUUGUUGACGAAUUUCAGGUAUAAUGUUGACGAAGAUGUUAAUCAAAGUGGGUGCUCAUAUGCAAUUCAGUUUGUGAACACAUUGGCCUAUGGCAUGGCCAUUUGAACAUAUGCUCUACCCACAUAUAAAUUUAAUCCACUCAUUUCGUUUCUCUACUUUCCUCUCGGCAUCUUUUCCUUCAGCUAUGGAGUUUCAAUUAUGGUCGUUUAAAUUCAUCUAAUAUAAGGUUGCAAUAUAUUGCAUUUUCAUACACUCAUAGAGAACUCGCACUAAAACUCUUGAACUCUUGUAACAUGUUUAAUAUGGAGUACUAAACAUGAUAAAAAUGAAAAAAAAAAAUUAAAAUCUUAUAUGUAUAUAUUAUGUGAAGAAUUUGGAUCCUAAACAUAACCUUAUACUUUUACUACGAAAUGUUUGGGACACCUUUUUAUUUAUUAGCUCUUCAUUGUAGUCUUCAUUAUUUUGAAUUGUAUUGAGUUGAACAUGUUUAAUGAGGAACAAAUUUGAAAUUUUAUUGAUGGUACGAUGUUUAAUUUCUGUGAGAAAUUUGGUGUGUAGAGGUACAACAAACACUCCAAGGUUGUAGUUAAUGUAACAUUGGAGGGAAGUCCUGGGCCAAUCCGAACAAUGGUGAAAUUAGGAUCCAGUGUUGAGGAGAUGAUAAAGCUUGUGAUUAGAAAGUACAACUCGGAAGGCCGCACUCCUCGUCCGGAUAAAGAUUUUGCUUCGAGAUGUGAAUUACACCACUCGUACUUCAGCGUUCAAUGUGAGUUAUUCAUUUGAUUUUUAACUAUUUCUUGGUUUUUUCUUAUACCAAAUGAAUAAUUACUCUGACAUGCCAUCCUAAUGUUGCUGCUUAUUGAAAGUGAUUGACAGUAAAUGAAAUGAUGAGUGUUGUUAAUUCUUGAAAACAUUGUAUAGCCUAUGUUUCAAUGGAAUUAAAAUUAUAUUUUCAGUAAACUUGAUAAAAGUUAAUGAGAUAUGUGAUUGAAAAGUUGUGGAUUCCAUAAAAUAUAUUGUUAUAAUUAAUUGUUGACUUUAUCUUAAAUUAAACCAAAUAGGGGCAUAAAGAAAUCAUUUCCAACUAGAAAGAUAUGCAAUCUUAAACUCUCUUAAAAAAUGAAAAAAAAAUUCAAAAUCCUGAGCUUGAAAUAUGUUAACUUAAGCAUCAAGGAAUUUUUCUAGUUAAGCGCUCAUAUGAUAAUUUUUGCUAUGAUAAAAUAAUAUUUUAUGAAAAAUAAAUUGUAAUUUUAUUUAUUUUUUAUAUUUAUUUAUUAUUGAAAAUGCGAAUUAAAGUAUCUAUGAUUACUCGAAAUAAUAUAAGUUAGAUACUUGCAUUGAGAAAAACAAUGUGACACAAUUUAUAUUUUGAUCAUAAAUAAAUUGUUUACAACCAAUAUAUAAGGGUAGGCACGUCGUGUUAAAAGAUUGUAGUGUUGAACAAUUCAAUAGCCAGAUUUAUGAUUUGUGCUUAUUUCAAAAAUAGUUAAAGGUGUAUUACACUUGGAAUGCAUUGAAAUGAUCACGUGUCGAGUUUAAUUCUAUAGCAUGACAGUACAAAGAAUUCAAUUCCACAUGAUUUUCAUGUAUUUUAUCUAAACUCAACACAAUUGUGUCUAUCUUUUUGUAAUUAUAAUGAUUCUCUUAUUAACCAAUAAUUUUUUUAUAAAUUUUAUCAGUCAAAUAUCUCGAUAAAUUGAGAGAUUAAAAACGAGCUAAGUAGAGAAUUGGAUUUUGUGACGGGAACCAUCAUCAUGAAAAAUGAGUAAAGUGAUUGUUUAAGUAUUUCUGUUGAGCAAUUAAAACCUGGACACUGUGUUUUGCUAUGACUAAAUUUCGACAUAUGUUAUUGGUUCACAAAACCAUUGCAGAAAAAUGGUACCUAAAUUAGUGAGAAUAAUUAGAAGGGUAAAAUAAUCAUUUAUGCCUGUAUCAAGUUAAUGGAUUUCGAACGGAAAAAAAAUACAUGCAAGGAAGGUUAGAGAAAAGUAUAUAUUGACUUCUGAUAUUGUAUAUAUUUCUAAUGUGUCGUCUUUUUCCUUUAAUGAAAAAAUAAAAACUAAUGAUUAGAUUAUGUAGUAUGGGGUCAACUAAAUAUGAUCUAAUUAUUGAAAUUUGAAUAAUACAAAUUCAACUAGAUCUCGUGGUAGCUCCAUAAUGUAUUGAGAUU